GACGAACGCUGGCGGCGUGCCUAAUACAUGCAAGUCGAACGAGAGCGACCGGUGCUUGCACUGGUCAAUCUAGUGGCGAACGGGUGAGUAACACGUGGGUAACCUGCCCAUCAGAGGGGGAUAACAUUCGGAAACGGAUGCUAAAACCGCAUAGGUCUUCGAACCGCAUGGCUGGAAGAGGAAAAGAGGCGCAAGCUUCUGCUGAUGGAUGGACCCGCGGUGCAUUAGCUAGUUGGUGAGGUAACGGCUCACCAAGGCCGUGAUGCAUAGCCGACCUGAGAGGGUGAUCGGCCACAUUGGGACUGAGACACGGCCCAAACUCCUACGGGAGGCAGCAGUAGGGAAUCUUCCGCAAAGGACGCAAGUCUGACGGAGCAACGCCGCGUGAGUGAAGAAGGUUUUCGGAUCGUAAAACUCUGUUGUUAGAGAAGAAUAAGUGCUAGAGUAACUGUUAGCGCCUUGACGGUAUCUAACCAGAAAGCCACGGCUAACUACGUG
RNAcentral lists this ribosomal RNA (498 nucleotides) under uncultured bacterium. RNAcentral's name for it is "partial 16S ribosomal RNA". It matches the Rfam family "Bacterial small subunit ribosomal RNA", at positions 28 to 507 of the family's 1533-position model. The record is from RNAcentral.